AGAACGAACGCUGGCGGCAUGCCUAACACAUGCAAGUCGAACGCUUUUGGGGCUUCGGUCCCAAAGGAGUGGCACACGGGUGAGUAGCGCGUGGGAACCUGCCCUGUUGUGGGGGAUAACCGAGGGAAACUUCGGCUAAUACCGCAUACGCCCGGGGGAAACUCCGGGGAAAGAUUUAUCGCAGCAGGAGGGGCCCGCGUCGGAUUAGGUAGUUGGUGGGGUAACGGCCCACCAAGCCUGUGAUCCGUAGCUGGUCUGAGAGGAUGAUCAGCCACACUGGGACUGAGACACGGCCCAGACUCCUACGGGAGGCAGCAGUGGGGAAUAUUGGACAAUGGGCGCAAGCCUGAUCCAGCAAUGCCGCGUGAGUGAUGAAGGCCUUCGGGUUGUAAAGCUCUUUCGCACGCGACGAUGAUGACGGUAGCGUGAGAAGAAGCCCCGGCUAACUUCGUGCCAGCAGCCGC
This 464-nucleotide ribosomal RNA is filed under the name uncultured bacterium. RNAcentral describes it as "SSU rRNA". It matches the Rfam family "Bacterial small subunit ribosomal RNA", at positions 26 to 518 of the family's 1533-position model. The record is from RNAcentral.